This 3784-nucleotide small RNA is filed under the name Histoplasma capsulatum. Its description in RNAcentral is "hypothetical RNA". The record is from RNAcentral. RNAcentral also lists the same sequence under 1 other name. Lineage: Eukaryota; Fungi; Ascomycota; Eurotiomycetes; Onygenales; Ajellomycetaceae.
UCUUUUAGAAAUGUGUCUUCCCAGGCGCCCUCCUCUUCAGCCAACAGGUUUGCUGAAUUUUUAUUCAGGACUUCUUCCGAAAUUCCAUUUUCUUGUAAUUCGUCUCUUCCUGCCAUAUGGUCUCUGUCGGACGAUUCCUUUUCCUCUGCGGGGUUAGGUUCUUCUUUAGGUGCCUUUGCCUCACAUGUAUCUUGAAUCGACUCGUAUUUAUUUAACGAGUCAUUGUUUUGAUUUGAUGGCACUUCUGCACUAUGCUUCAUAGAUUUGCCAUUUUUAUUGUUUCCAUGUACCUCAAGUAUCUCAGCAUCCGCAUAACUUCCAAUUGGAGGCACUGUUUCUCUUUCUAAUACCCCAGGACCAGGCUCACUUAUCGACGAGAUACGCAAGGCAUUCCGAGGUGGUAAUGGGGGAGGAGUGCGUUUGGGAAUGGUAAUGAGCCGAGCACGGGCGAAAGACGGGCUGGUAGGAUGAGCUUGGUUCAACACUCCAGGGAGAGAUUGAUCCUGAAUAACGAGGGAUCCUCCCCGGUUGGAGGUAGGCGGCAUACUUUCGACUCUAGAAGAGUUACCCACAUACGAGAUAUGGUGAUUCACCGAUGGUACCCUUUUAAAACUAUCUGAAAAAGGUCGGCGAGUCCCUGGUGGAGUGGCUGGGGGAGUGUUUGGGGGUUGCUGAUAGACGAAAUCGUCCGUCUGUGUGCCUCUGUCAGCGCUUGCAGUGCUCUGGACGCUGCUCCGCCAACUGGCCCUCGGAGAACUCUCAAUACUCGAUCUUGAAAAUCGAUUGUGUAAUGGGCUCGACGGACUGGGUCGGAAUGCAAACAUAUCAGCACUGGCUAUGCGCUUCGUUCCAGCUUCUCGAAUUAGUACACCCUCCUUUUCUAACGCCAUGACGCCAAACGGAUCCUGAUCCUCAGGCUGGGGAAUACCGAAUAUAUCGGUUUCCACAUCAGCAUCUCCAGGGACUUCACCUGGAGGUGGAAGCAUUGUCUCAUCAACAUCGGUAUCGCCCUGAGCUGCCUUUAUUGUCUCCAUUAAUGUUCCUAUUGAGGAUGGCGGAUGCCUUCCUUUACCCGCUAAAAUAUCAGCCACACCGAUUCGCUCACCAUAGAAACGCUCGUUUUCGUCGCUCCUCUCGAUUACGAUCGUACCAUCUACUUGAACCCCUGCAUAUAACCCCCUGCUCUUGACAUAUGUCCACACCGGAGCCCGUCGCUUGUGUACCUCAGAGUCCAUCACACCUCCCACACCAAACGGGCCAGCAGCAGCGCUGACUUCCCCGCCAAGUGUACAUCGUACCGCUUUGAAAGCCUCUAACGCCUCGUAAGUAUUGAUGACAACCACGCAAUCGUAGAUAUCGGCUCCAGCUAGAAACCCAAGUCCUGUGGUAUGCAACAUGAUUCCUGACGGAGGACUCCACUUUCCCGUUUCCUUGACCCUCGCGACAAGAAUCCCGCUACCUCCAGCUCCACUCAGCCAAAGGCCUGUUCUCAUUGCUGUAAAUAUUGCCAAGCCUUUAGCCUGCUUGAUAACAGCAGACGGUAUCUUUUUUACAACCCUUUGUUUCCCCUUUGGCCUGUCAAUAGUGUUCUUGUUGUUUUCCCCAGUAUCCUUGUAUCCCUCACCUCCAUCUUCAGAAGUUGUACGCGGACUUGUCCCGUUCGUCGCCUCGCUCUCAUUGUCGAUCUGCGUAUAGAAUCCAUCUUUGCAAAAACCUCGCAAUAUACGAGCUGCCUUAUCACUUUCCUUAUCCAGAGUUGUGGGCCAGAAAGCCUCCGCACCGAGUUUGUUCGACAGGCGAUUCACCGGGGGACCAAGCUUGUCCAAAGUAUUCCAGGCCUUGUCAAAUCCGCGCUUCGAAUAUCCUUUCGUCUUUCGCCAUUUUGAUUGCGGCAUUGUACCCUUCGUUGCUCGCCGAUUGUAAUCGGAGCCAAAGAUAGGGGCCGAAAGGGUGUUUGCUCAAACCCCAUGGACACUGGUAGUCAAGAAGUCAAACGCGUUUGGUGUUCAAGGAGUAGUUGGAGACAAAAGAUGCGCUCUUAUCCGGGAAGGCGAAAACUUGGGGGAAAUGUUUAACUUAGGGAAGGCUGGGAGCCCGUUCGGAACCUCGAAGUUUAAAUAACCCGACAAAUCUGUGCCUCGCAGUGACUUUUACUGAGGAUAAGUAGGUUUCCCAAAAAAUAAUUAUGUCCCAAAAAGACAAGAAAGAGAGUUUGAGGGUGCCAAAUCGCAAGGGAUAGUAGGUAUCUAUACAGGGAGUACAAAUUAUGGAAACAGACCCUCCAAGGGAAAUCCUCACCAAGCUCUUCAGGCACUUGUAGGCUGGUAAUUUAGGUGGGUUAUAUUACAACAAAGGGUGAUUGAUCAUGUUUGUUUUACUACCAAUGUAAUCUCCCAAUGAAACAUCUCUACCAAGAUGUUGGUUGCGGUCGAGCCUUUCAUACAAGUUUCUUCACGGUCAGUUUUUCAAGGUCGGUUCGAUGUUUUCAGCCGCCAACGGAGAAUUAGGAAAAAAAAGAAAUUAGAGAAUCAUGACAGGGUUUCCAGAUAUUGUACGGAGGAUGCAACAGGCAAAAAUGCAACUAUUGCGUAAGUCCGGGAUAUCCGGGAAGAGUUGGCUGGCUCGGCUCCAUCUCAACGUUCUUGAUCACAGUUCGUUCCACUUUUACAAUGGAUUCAUCUGGACUUCCUUAGGGCUGGUGGGUUCACGUGCACUGGGAGAGCUCCUAACCUACCCCUAUACCAAAGUUGGACUGAACGGCAAGAGGAUAUCAUUUUAUAUACUAUAAAACUUUUGAACAACAUCCCAGAAUCCUAAACGAUUGGAAAACACUGUUUUACCAGUUAAAAUAUUUCCGUCACUUUUUCAGAAACCGACUGGCCGCCAUCAAGCGCAUCCGCCUGUCGCCGAAGCAUCUCUGCUCUCAGUUUCUCAAACGCACGCUGGAUCCUCUCCUUUGACUCAGGGUCCUUCCCUAUUGUCCUCCGGGCGGAAUAAACGCCAGUGACAAGUCCCGUUUCUCCACCCAUAAACAACCCCCCAGCUGCGAACAAUGUAAACAUCGCCAUGUCGCUGAGUAUUGUGGGUCGAAGCAGAGGGCUCAGAUCAGGAACCGGCUCUUGUCCAAAGUAGAUACGAAGGAAUUGUUAGUUCAAACCUAUCAAAUAAUCCCUAAGGAAGAUCUUUUUUUUUCAUCUUUGUCAUUCCUACCUAGCCUGCCGCUUACAAACUGCACAUGAGUGGGCCUCUCCAUAACCUUGAAUGUAUUGAAUAUAUUCAUCCGCAUUCGCCGGACCCGUAAACCCAACCAUAUUCCCAGCCCAAUACCAACGACAGAACCGACGGCAGUGUGUGUUGCUAGCUUCGAUGCGGCGGAAUUCAGGGUAUCACGGUCCGAUUGCUGGAGAUUAUGCUUCAGAUGUUCCCGCCCCAGAUAGACAAGCUCCUGGCGGGUCGUGCCGCGGAAGGCCGCGAGCGAAUCGGGCAUUUUGUUUCUAGGUCUUUAUUUUCCGGCUUACCCUAACGGGAUAUAGACAUGGCACCCUUGGAAAUUGGGAAGGAAAGGCGUAUUCGCGACCAAUUCAAUUAUGGCCAUAAUUUCAUGAUGGUUAUGGCGAUGAGGGUUGAGCAGGCGGAGCUAUAUAAGCUCCUGAAUCUGUGACGUCAUCAUGCAAGCUUCUGAGAUCCAGACCUGGCUUGGUACUUAACAUUGCGUUCGUGAUUUUAAUAGCGUUGCCCAAAGAGAACGUCGUAUCUUGAAACAAAUUAAAUUUGAAUACGGAGA